Molecule: RNase P RNA, 485 nt
Filed under: bovine gut metagenome
Description: Bacterial RNase P class A
Rfam family: Bacterial RNase P class A
About the family: Ribonuclease P (RNase P) is a ubiquitous endoribonuclease, found in archaea, bacteria and eukarya as well as chloroplasts and mitochondria. Its best characterised activity is the generation of mature 5'-ends of tRNAs by cleaving the 5'-leader elements of precursor-tRNAs. Cellular RNase Ps are ribonucleoproteins.
Source: RNAcentral
ACGAUCGUACGGUUGCGGGGAGUAAUAUCCACGAGGAAAGUCCGGGCUCCGCACGGCAGGAUGCCGCCUAACGGACGGUGAAGGUAACUUUAAGGAAAGUGCAACAGAAAAUAACCGCUCAUUUUAAGUCGUAUAAGCUUCGCGAUACUUCGUUUCUGUAAAACCUCAAAAACUUGAUGACCGAUAAGGUCUAUCUCGUUUUUUCGGUUUUACGAGCCUCGUCUCGCUCGUUUCUCCGACUUAAAAUCCCGCUUUAAAGGGAUAGCGUUUCGUCGCAAUGGGUAAGGAUGAAAAGGCAGGGUAAGAGCCUACCGGACUUCCGGAGACGGAAGUCGCCGUGUAAACCCCAUCCGGAGCAAGAUAGGGGCAACUCGUAAGACAGCCGGUCGGAGUUGCCCGCAAAACGUCGCUUGAGCUUGUCGGCAACGGCAAGCGUAGAUAGAUAACCGUAUUAAAUGACAGAACCCGGCUUACAGGUCGUCCCG